RNAcentral lists this long non-coding RNA (1473 nucleotides) under Salmo salar (Atlantic salmon). RNAcentral's name for it is "lncRNA (ENSSSAG00000095147.1)". The record is from RNAcentral. Lineage: Eukaryota; Metazoa; Chordata; Actinopteri; Salmoniformes; Salmonidae.
GAAUUUAAUUGAAUUUAUUUUUGCUACUUUAUGAUGCCAUUACAAGCAUCUCCUAUGUUUCUCCUGUGUGACGUCCGUACACAAACUGUUCUACCCACGUAGUAUCCAAUAACGGAGUUGAGGGGGAGAGUAGAAAGAAAACGUGUUAGGCAUUUUGAAAUUGCUUCAACGUUUCAUGAGGAGGCAGUUUUUCCCCCCUCAGAGAAUAAAGACAGAGACAAGGAACAUGAGUAGGGCAACAGAGACAGGGACAGAGAUAGAGAUAGGGAUAGACACAGUGAAAGGGACAGAGACAGAGACAUUGACAGAGACAUGGACAGAGACAGGGACAAGGACCGAGAGAGAGAUGGACUGAGACAGAGACAUUGACAAAUACAUAGACAGGGACAGGGACAGAGAGAGAUGGACAGAGACAGAGACAGGGAUAGAGACAUGGACAGAGAGAUAGGGAUAGACACAGUGAAAGGGACAGAGACAGAGACAUUGACAGAGACAUGGACAGAGACAGGGACAAGGACCGAGAGAGAGAUGGACUGAGACAGAGACAUUGACAAAUACAUAGACAGGGACAGGGACAGAGAGAGAUGGACAGAGACAGGGAUAGAGACAUGGACAGAGAGACAGGGACAGACAGGGACAGAGACAGAGAGAUGGACAGAGACAGGGACAGAGACAGGGAUAGAGACAUGGACAGAGAGACAGAGACAGGGACAGAGACAGGGACAGAGACAGAGAGAUGGACAGAGACAGAGACAGGGAUAGAGACAUGGACAGGGACAGAGACAGGGACAGAGACAGAAACAGAGACUUGAACAGAGACAGAGACAGGGACAUGGACAGAGAACGUGAGUAGGGCAACAGAGACAGAACAGAGCUUGAGUAAAUAUCUCCCCAUCGUGGCGGUGGGAGGUUUGGCCCCCCAACUUCAUGUCUCCUCACAAGCAGUUUUUGGUGGAUUUGAGAACUGUAGCCUACAUCUUUUUUCUAUAAAAUACUAUGCAAUUAGUGAAGGGUGACACUUUACAUUUCAGAUUCCCCGUUGAACAUACUUUUCAUGGGAAACCGGCCCUUAGUGUACUUUCAAUAUCCUGUCAGUAGUCAUCUCUGGUAGAUGUUUGUCAAACAACGAGGGUUAUAAUUCAGCCAGUAGGUUAAUGUGUUCAGUCAUCAGUCAAACAACGAGGGUUAUAAUUCAGCCAGUAGGUUAAUGUGUUCAGUCAUCAGUCAAACAACGAGGGUUAUAAUUCAGCCAGUAGGUUAAUGUGUUCAGUCAUCAGUCUAUGGUGUUCCUGUAUGUGCAGCUACAGCAGGAUGUGGUUAACACCCAGGUCGGCUUCACUCCACACCCCAGUCGGUUACACACAAGCUCCCUAGGUGUCUCGCCUGCUUCCUACUGCCUGUGAAACCAGGAAGUUGUGUUGGUGCUAGGACGACGAGGACCGGGAAUGCUGAUCUUGUUCUCUCUCCGCCCGC